Molecule: ribosomal RNA, 483 nt
Filed under: uncultured bacterium
Lineage: Bacteria
Description: partial 16S ribosomal RNA
Rfam family: Bacterial small subunit ribosomal RNA
Source: RNAcentral
GAUGAACGCUGGCGGCGUGCUUAACACAUGCAAGUCGAACGGUGAAGCAGGAGCUUGCUCUUGUGGAUCAGUGGCGAACGGGUGAGUAACACGUGAGCAACCUGCCCCUGACUCUGGGAUAAGCGCUGGAAACGGCGUCUAAUACUGGAUAUGUGAUGUGACCGCAUGGUCUGCAUCUGGAAAGAAUUUCGGUUGGGGACGGGCUCGCGGCCUAUCAGCUUGUUGGUGAGGUAAUGGCUCACCAAGGCGUCGACGGGUAGCCGGCCUGAGAGGGUGACCGGCCACACUGGGACUGAGACACGGCCCAGACUCCUACGGGAGGCAGCAGUGGGAAUAUUGCACAAUGGGCGGAAGCCUGAUGCAGCAACGCCGCGUGAGGGAUGACGGCCUUCGGGUUGUAAACCUCUUUUAGCAGGGAAGAAGCGAAAGUGACGGUACCUGCAGAAAAAGCACCGGCUAACUACGUGCCAGCCGCCGCGGUAA